CGAGCGAACGGAGGGCGGGGCUAAAGCGGCGCUGUCAGUCAGCGACGUGAGGGAGAAGGAGCCAGAGAGGCCCCAAGCCCCGCCUCCUUGACUGACAACAGUGGCGCCCAAACGCCAGCCUUCAGACUUUUGAACUGCAUUUCCCAGAAUCCUUAGCCAUUGGCGAGCGUGGCCGAGGUUUCUGGGAGUUGGAGUCGAAAUAAGUCUGGCCUGUAAUGCCGGGUGUUUUGGACUCCAGCUCCCUGAAUCUCUUCUCAUUUUACUGUCGUGGCGUAGUGGACUAAAGCCUCGUGACUUGAAGGUUGGGUUGCUGACCUGAAGGCUGCCAGGUUCGAAUCCCACCCGGGGAAAGUGCGGAUGAGCUCCCUCUAUCAGCUCCAGCUCCACGCGGGGACAUGAGAGAAGCCUCCCACAAGGAUGCUUUCACAAGAACUGCAGGGUUUGGAGCCCGGCGUAACAAACCUUCCAAAAGGCCAGAUGAGACACAGACGGGUUGAAGGCAAAAUCAGAGGCUUUAUUCUCCAUGGUCAAAGAGGAUGUCAGCGGAGACAGCACUCCAAAAGAACUGACAUAUCACAGCUGUGGAAACAUAGGCAUAUUUAUUGAUUUUGACAGCUUUUUAAAAUACUGUGCUGGCUCCUGAUUUGUUUUAAAAGUAUUGAGCAAGGAUCUGUUCCCUGGCUGGUUCAGAGCUCCAUCAAACAUUAUUGAUGGUUGGUUCACACCAUGGUGAAAAACUUUAAUAAACUGUCAUUGGACUAUUUUGAA
This is a long non-coding RNA of Anolis carolinensis (green anole), 768 nucleotides long. RefSeq lists it as uncharacterized. The record is from RefSeq and is a predicted model, not a curated record. NCBI's taxonomy places the organism in Eukaryota, Metazoa, Chordata, Lepidosauria, Squamata, Anolidae. The transcript has 2 exons.